GUGGGGAAUAUUGGGCAAUGGGCGAAAGCCUGACCCAGCAACGCCGCGUGAAGGAAGAAGGUCUUCGGAUCGUAAACUUCUAUCCUUGGUGAAGAUAAUGACGGUAGCCGAGAAGGAAGCCCCGGCUAACUACGUGCCAGCAGCCGCGGUAAUACGUAGGGGGCAAGCGUUGUCCGGAAUGAUUGGGCGUAAAGGGCGCGUAGGCGGCCUGGUAAGUCUGGUGUGAAAGUCCUGCUUUUAAGGUGGGAAUUGCUUUGGAUACUGUCGGGCUUGAGUGCAGGAGAGGUAAGCGGAAUGCCCGGUGUAGCGGUGAAAUGCGUAGAGAUCGGGUGGAACACCAGAGGCGAAGGCGGCUUACUGGACUGUAACUGACGCUGAGGCGCGAAAGUGUGGGGAGCAAACAGGAUUAGAAACCCCAGUAGUCC
This 425-nucleotide ribosomal RNA is filed under the name uncultured bacterium. RNAcentral describes it as "partial 16S ribosomal RNA". It matches the Rfam family "Bacterial small subunit ribosomal RNA", at positions 354 to 796 of the family's 1533-position model. The record is from RNAcentral.